AGAGUUUGAUCCUGGCUCAGGAUGAACGCUGGCGGCGUGCUUAACACAUGCAAGUCGAACGAAGCACUUUAAUUGAUUUCUUCGGAAUGAAGUUUUUGUGACUGAGUGGCGGGCGGGUGAGUAACGCGUGGGUAACCUGCCUCAUACAGGGGGAUAACAGUUGGAAACGACUGCUAAUACCGCAUAAGCGCACAGGAUUGCAUGAUCCAGUGUGAAAAACUCCGGUGGUAUGAGAUGGACCCGCGUCUGAUUAGCCAGUUGGCGGGGUAACGGCCCACCAAAGCGACGAUCAGUAGCCGACCUGAGAGGGUGACCGGCCACAUUGGGACUGAGACACGGCCCAAACUCCUACGGGAGGCAGCAGUGGGGAAUAUUGCACAAUGGGGGAAACCCUGAUGUAGCGACGCCGCGUGAGCGAAGAAGUAUUUCGGUAUGUAAAGCUCUAUCAGCAGGGAAGAAGAAUGACGGUACCUGACUAAGAAGCACCGGCUAAAUACGUGCCAGCAGCCGCGGUAAUACGUAUGGUGCAAGCGUUAUCCGGAUUUACUGGGUGUAAAGGGAGCGCAGGCGGUACGGCAAGUCUGAUGUGAAAUCCCGGGGCUCAACCCCGGUACUGCAUUGGAAACUGUCGGACUAGAGUGUCGGAGGGGUAAGUGGAAUUCCUAGUGUAGCGGUGAAAUGCGUAGAUAUUAGGAGGAACACCAGUGGCGAAGGCGGCUUACUGGACGAUUACUGACGCUGAAGCUCGAAAGUGCGGGUAUCGAACAGGAUUAGAUACCCUGGUAGUCCGCACGGUAAACGAUGGAUGCCCGCUGUUGGUCUGAACAGGUCAGCGGCCAAGCGAAAGCAUUAAGCAUCCCACCUGGGGAGUACGCCGGCAACGGUGAAACUCAAAGGAAUUGACGGGGGCCCGCACAAGCGGAGGAACAUGUGGUUUAAUUCGAUGAUACGCGAGGAACCUUACCCGGGCUUGAAUUGCAGAGGAAGGAUUUGGAGACAAUGACGCCCUUCGGGGUCUCUGUGAAGGUGCUGCAUGGUUGUCGUCAGCUCGUGCCGUGAGGUGUCGGCUUAAGUGCCAUAACGAGCGCAACCCCUCUCCUUAGUUGCCAUCAGGUUAAGCUGGGCACUCUGGGGACACUGCCACCGUAAGGUGUGAGGAAGGUGGGGAUGACGUCAAAUCAGCACGGCCCUUACGUCCGGGGCUACACACGUGUUACAAUGGCAGGUACAGAGAGACGGUCCCUUGCAAGACGGAUCAAAUCCUUAAAGCCUGUCUCAGUUCGGACUGGGGUCUGCAACCCGACCCCACGAAGCUGGAUUCGCUAGUAAUCGCGCAUCAGCCAUGGCGCGGUGAAUACGUUCCCGGGCCUUGUACACACCGCCCGUCAAGCCAUGAAAGCCGGGGGCGCCUAAAGUCCGUGACCGUAAGGAGCGGCCUAGGGCGAAACUGGUAAUUGGGGCUAAGUCGUAACAAGGUA
RNAcentral lists this ribosomal RNA (1478 nucleotides) under metagenome. Its description in RNAcentral is "bacterial SSU rRNA". It matches the Rfam family "Bacterial small subunit ribosomal RNA". The record is from RNAcentral.